Molecule: ribosomal RNA, 497 nt
Filed under: uncultured bacterium
Lineage: Bacteria
Description: partial 16S ribosomal RNA
Rfam family: Bacterial small subunit ribosomal RNA
Source: RNAcentral
GAUGAACGCUGGCGGCGUGCCUAAUACAUGCAAGUCGAGCGAACAGACUAGGAGCUUGCUCCUGUGACAUUAGCGGCGGACGGGUGAGUAACAGGUGGAUAACCGACCUAUAAAACUGGGAUAACUUCGGGAAAACGGAGCGAAUACGGGAUAAUAUAUUUAACCACAUUGUACAAUAGUGAAAGACGGUGUUGAUGGCACUUAUAGAUGGGUACGCGCCGCAUUAUCUAGUUGGUAAGGUAACGGAUUAGCAAGGCCAAGAUGCGUAGCCGAACUGAGAGGGUGAUCGGCCACACUGGAAAGGAGAUAAGCUCCCGAAUCCGACGGGAGGCAGCAGUAGGGCACCUUCCGGAAGGGGCGGAAGCCUGACGUAGCAAAGGCGCGUGAGUGAUGAAGGUCUUCGGAUCGUAAACCUCUGUUAUUAGGGAAGAACAAAGGUGUAAGUAACGAUGUAAGUCUUGACGGUACCUAAGCAGAAAGCCCCGGCUAACUACGUG